GACCGCUCCGGUGGUCUAAGUGGUUAGAGCGUUUGACUCGGAUGCGGGAGGUCGCGGGUUCAAGUCCCGACCGAGUCA
Non-coding RNA from Potamilus streckersoni, 78 nucleotides. The record is from the annotation of a GenBank genome assembly. NCBI's taxonomy places the organism in Eukaryota, Metazoa, Mollusca, Bivalvia, Unionida, Unionidae.